UCAGAAUAGUGAUGUAAAUGAGCAGCUUGUCAUAGGUAAUGCCAAAGAGGACUACUCUGUUUUAAAGGACAAUGAGAAAACUGAAAAAAUACUACCAUGAGGAUACUACAAAUUCCAUGGAACCUUUGCUAUGAGGCAAUCUCCUUGUCAUGGGAUAUUUAGAGAAGGAAGAAAGUACCUUCCUGGGCCUCCCUGGUGGC
Long non-coding RNA from Talpa occidentalis (Iberian mole), 200 nucleotides. RefSeq lists it as uncharacterized. NCBI's taxonomy places the organism in Eukaryota, Metazoa, Chordata, Mammalia, Eulipotyphla, Talpidae. The record is from RefSeq and is a predicted model, not a curated record. The transcript has 3 exons.